UACAGAGGGUGCAAGCGUUGUUCGGAAUUAUUGGGCAUAAAGCGCGUGUAGGCGGCGUGGCAAGUCGGGUGUGAAAGCCCUCAGCUCAACUGAGGAAGUGCGCCCGAAACUGCUAUGCUUGAGUGCCGGAGAGGGUGGCGGAAUUCCCCAAGUAGAGGUGAAAUUCGUAGAUAUGGGGAGGAACACCGGUGGCGAAGGCGGCCACCUGGACGGUAACUGACGCUGAGACGCGAAAGCGUGGGGAGCAAACAGG
Molecule: ribosomal RNA, 253 nt
Filed under: uncultured bacterium
Lineage: Bacteria
Description: partial 16S ribosomal RNA
Rfam family: Bacterial small subunit ribosomal RNA
Source: RNAcentral